RNAcentral lists this ribosomal RNA (117 nucleotides) under Myxococcota bacterium. The record is from RNAcentral. Lineage: Bacteria; Pseudomonadati; Myxococcota.
CCUGGCGGCUAUACCGGAGAGGUCACACCCGUUCCCAUCCCGAACACGGAAGUUAAGCUCUUCAGGGCCAAUGGUAUUGCAGGGGCAACCCUGUGGGAGAGUAGGACGCUGCCGGGG